Molecule: ribosomal RNA, 506 nt
Filed under: uncultured bacterium
Lineage: Bacteria
Description: partial 16S ribosomal RNA
Rfam family: Bacterial small subunit ribosomal RNA
Source: RNAcentral
AUUGAACGCUGGCGGCAGGCCUAACACAUGCAAGUCGGACGGUAGCGCAGAGGAGCUUGCUCCUCGGGUGACGACUGGCGGACGGGGGAGCAAUGUCUGGGUAUCUGCCCGAUAGAGGGUGAGAACCACUGGAAGAGGUGGCUAAUACCGCAUAACGUCGCAAGACCACAAAGGGAGACCUUCAGGCCACUAACUACCGGAACAACCCAGAUGGGAUUAGCUAGUAGGCGGGGUAACGGCCCACCUAGGCGACGAUCGCUGGCGGGUCUGAGAGGAUGACCAGCCACACUGGAACUGAGACACGGUCCAGACUCCUACGGGAGGCAGCAGUGGGGAAUAUUGCACAAUGGGCGCAGGCCUGAUGCAGCCAUGCCGCGUGUAUGAAGAAGGCCUUCGGGUUGUAAAGCACUUUCAGCGGGGAGGAAGGCGAUGUGGUUAAUAACCGCAUUGAUUGACGGUACCCGCAGAAGAAGCACCGGCUAACUCCGUGCCAGCCGCCGCCGUAA